This 253-nucleotide ribosomal RNA is filed under the name uncultured bacterium. RNAcentral describes it as "partial 16S ribosomal RNA". It matches the Rfam family "Bacterial small subunit ribosomal RNA", at positions 524 to 776 of the family's 1533-position model. The record is from RNAcentral.
GACAGAGGGUGCAAACGUUGCUCGGAAUUACUGGGCGUAAAGCGCGUGUAGGCGGGCCAUCAAGUCGGACGUGAAAUCCCUGAGCUCAACUCAGGAACUGCAUCCGAAACUGGCGGCCUGGAGUGGUGGAGAGGGAAGCAGAAUUCCUGGUGUAGAGGUGAAAUUCGUAGAUAUCAGGAGGAACACCGGUGGCGAAGGCGGCUUCCUGGACACUUACUGACGCUGAGACGCGAAAGCGUGGGGAGCAAACAGG